Molecule: long non-coding RNA, 444 nt
Organism: Zalophus californianus (California sea lion)
Lineage: Eukaryota; Metazoa; Chordata; Mammalia; Carnivora; Otariidae
Exons: 3
Source: RefSeq, a predicted model, not a curated record
AGUCUUGACUGGAAUCCAAGCACCCACAGCCGUGCUAUGUGAAAAUGCACGUGAAGAGUGCAUUUCUUCGCAGUCUUUUUUAAAAUGCAUUUGUUUACGACAUUUGAUUUCAAGCAGAAAAUAAUUAUUCUGCCUCUACCUCGCGCGCUGCCUGUUGCUAGGUGCCGAAAGGUACACAACCCGAGGAAGACAUGGCCCCAGACACGAGGCACGACCAAACCACUGCUAAUUAGAGCUGCAGUCGGUACCCAGAGGGCAGAGCAAAAGCCUCCAGAAGAACAUGGAGAUCAGCUUACCUCGUAAAAUUAUGAUGAACACAAUGUCUGGAGUGGCUGCAACUAUCUCGUGACCAUGGGAACAGAAGUGCACGUACUGGGAGACGGACAGAACCUGGGUCCUUGAUUUCAUUAGAGCUGCCUCCCUUGGAACUUCUCAUUAUGCGUG